AACGAACGCUGGCGGCAGGCCUAACACAUGCAAGUCGAGCGAGCAUUUCGGUGCUAGCGGCGGACGGGUGAGUAACGCGUGGGAACGUGCCCUUUUCUGCGGAAUAGUCCUGGGAAACUGGGGGUAAUACCGCAUACGCCCUUUUGGGAAAAGAUUUAUCGGAGAAGGAUCGGCCCGCGUUGGAUUAGGUAGUUGGUGGGGUAAUGGCCCACCAAGCCGACGAUCCAUAGCUGGUUUGAGAGGAUGAUCAGCCACACUGGGACUGAGACACGGCCCAGACUCCUACGGGAGGCAGCAGUGGGGAAUCUUAGACAAUGGGGGUAACCCUGAUCUAGCCAUGCCGCGUGAGUGAUGAAGGCCUUAGGGUUGUAAAGCUCUUUCAGCUGGGAAGAUAAUGACGGUACCAGCAGAAGAAGCCCCGGCUAACUCCGUG
Molecule: ribosomal RNA, 433 nt
Filed under: uncultured bacterium
Lineage: Bacteria
Description: partial 16S ribosomal RNA
Rfam family: Bacterial small subunit ribosomal RNA
Source: RNAcentral